GAGUGGACUAGGUCGGGCAGUUAGGCCCUGCUCCCAACCCGCGAUAUGGUCUUUAGCGGGGACCGAAUCCUGAGGGCGUCCGGUCAGACCCGGUCGGGCCUCGGGAGUCGACGUAGAAGCCUCGUCCGUCGGGGACGGCGGUCGACGGGGUCCAUCCGCAGGGAUGGCACUCCGUCGUUGGUCGGCGGUAAUGAGUCAGGCACGGAAGUGAGCAGCUCACCGUCGGACACCCGUCGCUCGAUGGGUCGCGGGGUGGAGGAGACGACCGAGAUUCCCCGUCCGGGAACGCCGGGCAAUCCCAGGCGUCCACCA
RNAcentral lists this signal recognition particle RNA (312 nucleotides) under Haloarchaeobius sp. HME9146. RNAcentral's name for it is "signal recognition particle sRNA". It matches the Rfam family "Archaeal signal recognition particle RNA". Lineage: Archaea; Methanobacteriati; Methanobacteriota; Halobacteria; Halobacteriales; Halorubellaceae. The record is from RNAcentral.